Molecule: long non-coding RNA, 381 nt
Organism: Chelonia mydas (Green sea turtle)
Lineage: Eukaryota; Metazoa; Chordata; Testudines; Cheloniidae
Exons: 3
Source: RefSeq, a predicted model, not a curated record
CCUGUAAUAACACUCUUUUCAAACAGAAUGUUCUUGCAUUUAGAAGAAUGUAUUUGGUCUCUUGGUGGUGAAACAUGGUUUGUGUUGACGACGCAGAACUCUGUGUGGCAGAGGGAACUUGAUUUUUGAAUCACGGAAUUGCUUGACUGCAGGUCUACGGCACUUGCUAGCAGCAAUCUCCUCAACCUUCAUGAUCUGAACAGAGUGAGUACGGGCACGAUGGUGAGCACCCAUAUCAUGGUAGCACUGUGUAACAGCACCAGCAGUUGUCAAGUCCCUGUAUUCCAUGUACAUAUUGUGGGUUCCACUACGAGAAUCAUAGCAUAGCCAGAUACCAAAGUUUUUCACCCGCAAAGGGGACUUUUCAAAUACCUGUCCACA